This is a long non-coding RNA of Carassius gibelio (silver crucian carp), 5790 nucleotides long. RefSeq lists it as uncharacterized. NCBI's taxonomy places the organism in Eukaryota, Metazoa, Chordata, Actinopteri, Cypriniformes, Cyprinidae. The transcript has 3 exons. The record is from RefSeq and is a predicted model, not a curated record.
UAAAAAAAUCACCACGGCAAAAUCAUUCAAGCUAUCCAAAAUCCAUUCACAAUUUAAGUUCCUAUCAGAAAUACUGAUGUGUGUUCAGAGUUUUGUGAAAUUCUAAGUAUGUUAUUUGCCUCAAAAUCACCUGAGAAGUAUUCCAGUUUGACAUGUUGCCACGGCAACAAUUUUUUAGAUAUCAAUAUCCCCCUUGCAGAUUUAUAUCAGCUGUGUUUUAACAUUAUUCUGAUGAAGUUUGAAGCAAAUCGAGUAAUAAUAAGAUGCUGAAUUCAAAUCAUUUUGAAAAUGACACACUUCCUUCUGCCAGUUGGUGGCGCUAUAACUUUGACUCCUAAUAGUCACAUAUAUGCGAUCGACAUCAUACAACGAAUAAUCUGAUGAAGUUUGAUUAAAAUCAGGAAAUGUAUGUGGAUGGUAUUAGACACUUCCUGUUUCUAAUUUCUCGCCAUAAUUUCAACGCCUCGCCACGAGCAAACCGUUCGAGAUAUCAAAAAUCCCCUGGCAAUUUUUCAUCCCCAGUGUCUUGAGAUCAUGUUGACCGAGUUUGGUGGCAAUCGAGUAAAAAACCUAUGACAAGUAUUUCAAAUUCCAGAGCAUGCGCUUUUUACAUAACUCUAAAUAGCUGACUUCCUGUUGGGUGGAGCCUAUGACAUGCAAUACGAAAGUUGUUCGGCACGAUGAGAUCUAUAUGUGUACUGAGUUUCAUAUGAAUAUGUGCAAGUAUGUGUGAGCUAUACAUCAAAAUUUUUGACUGUGUUCCAGGGGGCGCCGUAGAGCCCCUGUGCCACGCCCGGGUCCCAGCCUCUGCAGGCUCCUAAAGGCCACAGAUUCCAAAGUGUGCGCAAAUUUUCAAGAGUUUUUGAGUAUGUUAAGGACCCCAAAAGCCCCCACAACUUUGACGAAAAAUUUGAAUACUAAACCCUAAAUAGCCAACUUCCUGUUGGGCGGAGCCUAUGAUAUGCAAUACAAAAGUUGUUUGGAUUGAUGAGAUUUAUAUGUGUACCGAGUUUCAUACGUCUACGAGCAAGAAUGUAUGAUAUAUGGCCCUCCAUAUUCCAGGGGGCGCUGUAGAGCCCCUGUGCCACGCCCGUGUAUCAGUCUCUGCCCGGCCCUAAUGGCCGCAGGUUCCAAUCUGUGUGCCAAUUUUCAAGACUUUUUAAGCACGUUAAGGGCCCCAAAAGCCCCCGAGACGUUGGAAAAAAAUAAUAAUAAUAAUAAUAAUAAUAAUAAUAAUAAUAAUAAUAAUAAUAAAAAAUAAUCCUAAGGAAAACAAUAGGCCUCUCGCCCUUUGGGCUUGAGCCCUAAUAAAAAACAAAGCAGAUACAAGAGGGUCCUCGCACCUCGGUGCUCGGGCCCUAAUUAAAGCUGCAAGCAGCGAUGAACGGGCCCUCGCACCCGGGCUCACCGCCAUCGUGUGGCUUUAGUAAAAAGGUGAACGUUGAGAAAUAUGCAUUUAAUGUCCUAAAUAUAAGUGGAAUAUAUCAAAGUAUAUCCCAUAUAUGUGCCAAUCUUACCGUUGCCAGCAGGUGGCGCUAUCAUUAUAAUGGAAUAUUGGCCUUCAGAUGUGUUCAGGCCAGGACUCUUAUCGAACAUGUGAAGUUUGGGGAAGAUUGAACAUUUUAUGCUUGAGUUACAACAACUUCUCUUGCUGUGGCAAGACAUCAAAUUUUGUCAUGGCACCAUGGAAACGCCCUUUAACAAAAACUCAGGAUCUCCAAAAGUUAACAUUGCACAGGCCUUUAGAUUAGACUGACCACAAAAUAUAUGUUAAUCUCAAAAAAAUUAUAGGAGUAGUUUGUUGCAGCGUAAAACAUGUCACUUCCUGUUGCCAAUAGGUGGCGCUAUGACUAUAACUGAAUGUGGGCAUGUAGAUCUGUUAAGGGCAAAAGUUUUAUCUAACAUGUGAAGUUUGGGGCAGAUUGGACAUUGUAUGUCUGAGUUACAGCAACUUCCUUUUUCAUGGCGAAACAUCGAAAUUUGUCAGGCCACCAUGGACACGCCCUUUAACGAAAUCUAAAGAUCUUCGCAAUUUAACAUCGCAAAGGGCUUAAGAUUACACUGACCAGGUUUGGUGUUGAUCUGAAUAAAUCUCUAGGAGGAGUUUGUUAAAGUACAACCCCUGAAAAUGGCAAAAACAACGCCAAUUUUGCAGAGAAAAUUCUAAAUAACCGACUUCCUGUUGGGAUUCGGAUUUCGUACCAAGAUACUUUUUUGUAGGUAUUGGUGUGUUACAUGUGUAUACCGAUUUUUGUACAUGUACGUGAAACAUAGCUCGAGGCGCACUCUGUUGAAAGUGUAUAGGUGGCGCUAUCGAGCCAUUUUGCCACACCUGAUGGAAUUUUGGCCUUCAGAUGUGUUCAGGCCAGGAGUCUUAUCACACAUGUGAAGUUUGGGGAAGAUCGGACAUUUUAUGCCUGAGUUAUAACAUCUUUUAUUCCCAUGGCGAGACAUCGAACUUCGUGACGGCGCCAUGGACACGCCUUUUAACGAAAACUCAAGAUCUUCACAACUUAACAUCGCACAGGCCUUUAGAUUAGACUGACCACAAAAAAGACAUUGAUGUCAUAAAAUUUCUAGGAGUAGUUCUUCGCAGCAUAAAAUAUGACACUUCCUGUUGCCAAUAGGUGGCGCUAUGACUAUAACUGCAUAUGGGCAUGUCAAUCUAUUCUGUUCCAGAGUCUUAUCAACCAUGUGAAGUUUGGGGCAGAUUGGACAUUGUAUGUCUGAGUUAUAGCAACUUCAUUUUUCAUAGCGAGUCAUCGAAAUUCACCAGGCCGCCACGGACACGCCCUUCAACGAAAACUCAAAAUCUUCGCAAUUUAACAUCGCAAAGGCCUUUAGAUUAGGCAUACCAAAUUUGGUGUUGAUUUGAAGAAAUCUCUAGGAGGAGUUCGUUAAAAUACAACGCAUAGAAAUGGCAAAAAUGACACAAAAUUUGCCCAUAAUAUUAAAAAUAACCGACUUCCUGUUGGGUUUAGAAUUUUGCUCCAAGAGUCUUUUUUGUAGGUAUUGAUGUGUUACAUGUGUGUACCGAUUUUCAUACAUGUACGUGAAAUGUAGCUCGAGGCGCACACCGCUGAACGUGCAUAGGUGGCGCUGUCGAGCCAUUUUACCACACCCACUUCUGAAACCCAUAUCAGACGUAAAUUUUCGCCAGUUCGGAGGCGUGUGCAAAAUUUGGUGACUUUUUGAGAAUGUUUAGGCCCUCAAAAAUGCGAUUCAUUUUGGAGAAGCGGAAUAAUAAUAAUAAUUAAAGCUGCAAGCAGCGAUGAACGGGCCCUCGCACCCGGGCUCACCGCCAUCGUGUUGCUUUAGUAAAAAGGUGAACGUUGAGAAAUAUGCAUUUAAUGUCCUAAAUAUAAGUGGAAUAUAUCAAAGUAUAUCCCAUAUAUGUGCCAAUCUUACCGUUGCCAGCAGGUGGCGCUAUCAUUAUAAUGGAAUAUUGGCCUUCAGAUGUGUUCAGGCCAGGACUCUUAGCGAACAUGUGAAGUUUGGGGAAGAUUGAACAUUUUAUGCUUGAGUUACAACAACUUCUCUUGCUGUGGCAAGACAUCAAAUUUUGUCAUGGCGCCAUGGAAACGGCCUUUAACAAAAACUCAAGAUCUCCAAAAGUUAACAUUGCACAGGCCUUUAGAUUAGACUGACCACAAAAUAUAUGUUAAUCUCAAAAAAAUUAUAGGAGUAGUUUGUCGCAGCGUAAAACAUGUCACUUCCUGUUGCCAAUAGGUGGCGCUAUGACUAUAACUGAAUGUGGGAAUCUAGAUCUGUUAAGGGCAGAAGUUUUAUCUUACAUGUGAAGUUUGGGGCAGAUUGGACAUUGUAUGUCUGAGUUACAGCAACUUCCUUUUUCAUGGCGAAACAUCGAAAUUUGUCAGGCCACCAUGGACACGCCCUUUAACGAAAUCUAAAGAUCUUUGCAAUUUAACAUCGCAAAGGGCUUAAGAUUACACUGACCAGGUUUGGUGUUGAUCUGAAUAAAUCUCUAGGAGGAGUUCGUUAAAGUACAACCCCUGAAAAUGGCAAAAACAACGCCAAUAUUGCAGAGAAAAUUCUAAAUAACCGACUUCCUGUUGGGAUUCGGAUUUCGUACCAAGAGACUUUUUUGUAGGUAUUGGUGUGUUACAUGUGUGUACCGAUUUUUGUACAUGUACGUGAAACAUAGCUCGAGGCACACUCCGUUGAAAGUGCAUAUGCACUCCGUUGAAAGUGUAUAGGUGGCGCUAUCGAGCCAUUUUGCCACACCCAAUGGAAUAUUUGCCUUCAUAUGUGUUCAGGCCAGGACCCUUAUCACACACGUGAAGUUUGGGGAAGAUCGGACAUUUUAUGCCUGAGUUAUAACAUCUUUUAUUCCCAUGGCGAGACAUCGAACUUCGUCACGGCGUCAUGGACACGCCUUUUAACAAAAACUCAAGAUCUUCACAACUAUCCAUCACACAGGUCUUUAGAUUAGACUGACCACAAAAAAGACAUUGAUGUCAUAAAAUUUCUAGGAGUAGUUUGUCGCAGUGUAAAAUAUGUAACUUCCUGUUGCCAAUAGGUGGCGCUAUGACUAUAACUGAAUAUUGGCAUGUAGAUCUGUUCAGGUCAAGAGUCUUAUCCAACAUGUGAAGUUUGGGGCAGAUUGGACAUUGUAUGUCUGAGUUACAGCAACUUCCUUUUUCAUGGCGAAACAUCAAAAUUUGUCAGGCCGCCAUGGACCCGCCCUUUAACGAAACCUCAAGUCCUUCGCAAUUUAUUAUCGCAAAGGGCUUUAGAUUACACUGACCAAGUUUGGUGUUGAUCUGAAUAAAUCUCUAGCAGGAGUUCGUUAAAGUACAACCCCUGAAAAUGGCAAAAACAACACCAAUUUUGAAGGGAAAAUUCAAAAUAACCGACUUCCUGUUGGGAUCCGGAUUUCGUACCAAGAGACUUUUUUGUAGGUAUUGGAGUGUUACAUGUGUGUACCAAUUUUUGUACAUGUAUGUGAAACAUAGCUCGAGGCGCACUCCGUUGAAAGUGUAUAGGUGGCGCUAUAGAGCCAUUCUGCCACACCCGGUGGAAUAUUGGCCUGAAGAUCUGUUCAGGCCAGGACUCUUAUCACACAUGUGAAGUUUGGGGAAGAUCGGACAUCUUAUGCCUGAGUUAUAACAUCUUUUAUUCGCAUGGCGAGACAUCGAACUUCGUCGCGGCGCCAUGAACAAGCCUUUUAACGAAAACUCAAGAUCUUCACAACUGAACAUCGCACAGGCCUUUAGAUUAGACUGACCACAAAAAAGACAUUGAUGUCAUAAAAUUUCUAGGAGUAGUUCAUCGCAGUGUAAAAUAUGUCACUUCCUGUUGCCAAUAGGUGGCGCUAUGACUAUAACUGAAUAUGGGCAUGUCAAUCUGUUCAGGUUUGGAGUCUCAUCAAACAUGUGAAGUUUGGGGCAGAUUGGUCAUUGUAUGUGUGAGUUAUAGCAACUUCAUUUUUCAUGGCGAAUCAUCGAAAUUCGCCAGGCCGCCACGGACAUGCCCUUCAACGAAAAGUCAGGAUCUUCGCAAUUUAACAUCGCAAAGGCCUUUAGAUUAGGCAUACCAAAUUUGGUGUUGAUUUGAAGAACUCUCUAGGAGGAGUUCGUUAAAAUACAACACAUGGAAAUGAUCAAAAUUACACAAAAUAUGCUCAUAAUAUUAAAAAUAACCGACUUCCUGUUGGGUUUAGAAUUUCGCUCCAAGAGUCUUUUUUGUAGGUAUUGGUGUGUUACAUAUGUGUGCCAAUUUCCGUGCAUGUACGUGAAACAUAGCUGGAAGGCUGUUGAUUUUCUUGGU